UAUAUAUGUGUGUGUGUGUAUAUAUACAUAUACAUACACAUACAUGUAUAUAAAAGUAUAUAUAACCUUAUUGCAGGUUGCUGGCAUAUAUUAUUCACCAUUUCACCGUGGUUUUACUGGAGCUCGCCGCAAGGGCUAGUUCCAACAGAGAGACAUUGGACACAGAGUAUGGAAAAACAUUGUGAAGCUUUCCUGGAGCAGGUCAUCCACAGCAUCUCAGGCUUGCUGGGCUCUCUGAGGUCUCAUACAGUGUCGCCCCUCAACCACUCAUUUUUUGGUGCAUUUCGGAAAAGGUGGAACUUUUUUGUCAUUAUUCAUUACAAGUGGGGAACCUGAGACCUUAAUGGUACUAAUAUUAAGAUUUCCAAGGAAAUAGGUGAUGACUCCAAUUACCUGAGGAAAAGAGACAAACCCUUUGGUAACUUAAACCAGUAGCAAUAGUUAUUUUGUUUGCUGUUUUUUACCCCUUCCUUUAGAGGACUAAUCUCUGCCUUAUUAUUAUAUGCUUAGCAUAUAAACAAACUCUCUUUGAUUUCAUCCUUCUGGAUGCAACUAAACCUUAGCCUUUCUCAGCUGAAUUAUCAGCAGAUCUGGUAACGCUCGUGCAGAGCAGUGGCAAUCUCAUACUCAGCAUCAGUUACGAGGUAUCGUGCUGGGGCAAUGGCUCUUCUUGGGAUGGUUCUACUGCUCCUCACUCUCAUACAACCCAAGCGUACAGGCGUCCUGUGAGGCCUUGUCAAGGAUGCCUUGACCUUAAGAGACAACUGCUGAGUGAAAAAAAGGUGUUCAGUCACCAACCUUCUCCCAGCUCUUGUGGGUCUUAUGAUGAGUUUCACCCGGGUAUACAGCAAUAUAUUGUUUUAUACAAUAAACCAAACACUAGGGGCACUGCAAGGAUAUAACUCUCCAACGGCCAAAUGUUCCCCUUUUUCCUUGCAUUAAAACUGCUAUGUCCUUACUGAAGUAAGGACUUCACUGUUCUGCUGGACAUUAGUAAAAUUCACAAGCCCUAGAUUUCCAGAGCAGGCUGCAUUACCUAAUGUCUUCUGCUAAAUAGCUUUUAUAAAAUAAAAUCCAUACAUAAAUCCAAAGGAAAUAAAUCCCUCAGUGGGCCUAGGGCCAGUGCCAUUUAAAUCCCUCUUAGACUGUACCGAGGGGUGGUGUGUGAGCCUUGCACUACAUGGGGGAGAUGGGAACUGCCCCCACAGCAUCUUCUCCCAGGCAGAAGGCACAGCACAACCUCCAGGUUUGAGCAUAACACCCUCAGCUCCUGCUCUGAGGACAAAGGGAAUGGAUCAGUCUGGACAUUUUGUAUUGCCAUAUCACUGCUGCUGUUCUCCUUAAGAACUGUAUGGCCUAAUCAAGUCCCAAAACUUAGAUGGAUAAAAUUAAUCAAUAUAAAUCUGUCUUGCAGUGAUCUUCUAAAGAGAGUUUCAACAUUUUUUACAAAAUAGGUAAAGAUAUACCUGAAAAUAAUAAUAAUGAGCUGUUUCAAAGCUGGUAAUUUAAACAGAGUGGUUACAGUGUCCACAGCACAGGCACCAUUGACCCUGUGCCAAAUAUAAUGUCUACUUUUGUUAAGCCUUAUAAUGUCUAUUUCUGUUAAGCCUUUUAGCUCUGUUAAUCCUUUUGGUCAGAGUAAAGAGUGAUAUAUUGGAACACUAAUUUGGAAAGCAAACAGAAAAUUAUGAGAAUGAACAGGCUAUGCUUGUGCAGUAUGAAGGAUCUAAGGGCAGAAGAAAAGCACAGGACACCUAAGAGCCUUAAAAGCAUUAGUACAGUCACCAGGCAUGGAGUGGUCACUACACUGAGUAGCUGGUUUGAGAAGUCCAGAUAAAAGUAUGUAACUUAUAUUUUAAAAUAUGAAAAAGAACAAAAUUUAGCCCUUGUCACAUGAAAACUUAAACCCAUACAGGAGAAAUGUGUCACUGCUGUAGACGCUGUGGCACGGUGUUUAUGAUGAAAUGGUUUUUAAUACCUUGGAGAUUAUGAUCCUGUGCCAUAGGUAGAAGUUGCAUUUCUCAAAGCUUCUGAGUGCUGGUGGCAGCUUUCCAAGAAAGACACCAGAUCCUGAAGUCCUCUUUGCAAGUCACCUUCAAAAACCAGCAUGGCCUGCAGUCACCCACGGCUGAACUCUUGCACCUCUACAAGAACUGCGUGUUCUCUUGAGGAGAAUCCAAGUUGCAGAAGUGUUUGUAAAGCAUUGUAUUAAAUAAUGGAAAGCAGCUACUUUCUAAGUGACGGAAAUCUGUAGGGAAUAUGCAUCACGCAAAUUCUGGGAGGAAUACAGACCUUCAGUGACAUACUAGUAUCAUGCUAUUAAAAUUUAAAAAUACUUUUCG
Vidua chalybeata is the source of this 2342-nucleotide long non-coding RNA. RefSeq lists it as uncharacterized. The transcript has 5 exons. NCBI's taxonomy places the organism in Eukaryota, Metazoa, Chordata, Aves, Passeriformes, Viduidae. The record is from RefSeq and is a predicted model, not a curated record.